RNAcentral lists this long non-coding RNA (248 nucleotides) under Phoenix dactylifera (date palm). Its description in RNAcentral is "long non-coding RNA (PDAC_LNC020986)". The record is from RNAcentral. Lineage: Eukaryota; Viridiplantae; Streptophyta; Magnoliopsida; Arecales; Arecaceae.
GGCAUAACGGCUAGUUUUUUUCUUGACUCCAACGGCUCUAUUUUUGUCUCUAACGGCUAGAUUUUUGUUUCCACGCCAUCUAAAGCUAUAAAAUCAAGAGGAGAGCUAGGGAAGAAGGCAUGAAAGUGGGAAAGAACAUUUAGGGAAGAGAUUUCAAAGAGAUUACAAGGAAAAUCUCCCAUAAGCACAAAAGGGCCAUUCAAAGUAAAAUAGAGAGAAGAAGAGCAUCCAAGUGAAUCCCAAAGCUU